RNAcentral lists this ribosomal RNA (1125 nucleotides) under marine metagenome. Its description in RNAcentral is "bacterial LSU rRNA". It matches the Rfam family "Bacterial large subunit ribosomal RNA", at positions 1390 to 2499 of the family's 2925-position model. The record is from RNAcentral.
CCUAAGGCGAGGCAGAAAUGCGUAGUCGAUGGGAAACGGGUUAAUAUUCCCGUACCUUGGAUAGCUGCGAUGGAGAGACGGAGAAGGCUAGGUGAGCCGGGCGACGGUUGUCCCGGUUUAAGCAUGUAGGCAGUGGGAUUAGGCAAAUCCGGUCCCACAAUGCCGAGACGCGACGACGACUGCCCUUUUAGGGCGGGAAGUCAUUGAUGCCCUGCUUCCAGGAAAAUCUUCUAAGCUUCAGGCUAUUCGAGACCGUACCCCAAACCGACACAGGUGGUCAGGUAGAGAAUACCAAGGCGCUUGAGAGAACUCGGGUGAAGGAACUAGGCAAAAUGGUACCGUAACUUCGGGAGAAGGUACGCCGCUGAUGGUGAUGGGACUUGCUCCCUAAGCUGUUGGCGGCCGAAGAUACCAGGUGGCUGCGACUGUUUAUUAAAAACACAGCACUGUGCAAACACGAAAGUGGACGUAUACGGUGUGACGCCUGCCCGGUGCCGGAAGGUUAAUUGAUGGGGUUAGCGCAAGCGAAGCUCUUGAUCGAAGCCCCGGUAAACGGCGGCCGUAACUAUAACGGUCCUAAGGUAGCGAAAUUCCUUGUCGGGUAAGUUCCGACCUGCACGAAUGGCGUAACGAUGGGGGCGCUGUCUCUACCCGAGACUCAGUGAAAUUGAAAUCGCCGUGAAGAUGCGGUGUAUCCGCGGCUAGACGGAAAGACCCCGUGAACCUUUACUAUAGCUUCACAGUGAACUUUGAGCAUGUUUGUGUAGGAUAGCUGGGAGGCUUUGAAGCGGGAACGCCAGUUCUCGUGGAGCCAACCUUGAAAUACCAGCCUGACCUGUUUGAGGUUCUAACUUGGUCCCCUGAUCGGGGAUGAGGACACUGUGUGGUGGGUAGUUUGACUGGGGCGGUCUCCUCCCAAAGCGUAACGGAGGAGCACAAAGGUGGGCUAAGCACGGUCGGACAUCGUGCGGUUAGUGUAAUGGCACAAGCCCGCUUAACUGCGAGACAGACACGUCGAGCAGGUACGAAAGUAGGUCAUAGUGAUCCGGUGGUUCUGUAUGGAAGGGCCAUCGCUCAACGGAUAAAAGGUACUCCGGGGAUAACAGGCUGAUACCGCCCAAGAGU